CUGCCUGCCCAGUGACAUUAGUUUAACGGCCGCGGUAUUAUGACCGUGCAAAGGUAGCGUAAUCACUUGUCUUUUAAAUAAAGACCUGUAUGAAUGGCAAAACGAAAGUUCAACUGUCUCCCUAAGUUAAUCAGUGAAAUUGAUUUUUCCGUGCAGAAGCGGAAAUAAAUUUAUAAGACGAGAAGACCCUAUGGAGCUUCAAAUAUAAAUCAAUUGUUUUAAUUAAAAAACCAUAAAUAUAAUAAAACAUAAUGAUUAAAAUUUUAGGUUGGGGCGACCACGGAAAAAAACAAAACUUCCGAGAUGAAAUAUUAUUAAUGAACAACAGUUCUAAAAAAUAAAAUAUUUAACAUAAUUGAUCCAAUAUUUGAUCAACGAACCAAGUUACCCUAGGGAUAACAGCGCAAUCCUUUCUAAGAGUCCUUAUCGACGAAUGGGUUUACGACCUCGAUGUUGGAUCAGGACACCCCAAUGGUGUAGCCGCUAUUAAAGGUUCGUUUGUUCAACGAUUAAA
This 514-nucleotide ribosomal RNA is filed under the name Onychodactylus koreanus. Its description in RNAcentral is "partial 16S ribosomal RNA". It matches the Rfam family "Bacterial large subunit ribosomal RNA", at positions 1854 to 2592 of the family's 2925-position model. Lineage: Eukaryota; Metazoa; Chordata; Amphibia; Caudata; Hynobiidae. The record is from RNAcentral.